GGGUUGUGAGGUUAAGCGACUAAGCGUACACGGUGGAUGCCCUGGCAGUCAGAGGCGAUGAAGGACGUGCUAAUCUGCGAUAAGCGUCGGUAAGGUGAUAUGAACCGUUAUAACCGGCGAUUUCCGAAUGGGGAAACCCAGUGUGUUUCGACACACUAUCAUUAACUGAAUCCAUAGGUUAAUGAGGCGAACCGGGGGAACUGAAACAUCUAAGUACCCCGAGGAAAAGAAAUCAACCGAGAUUCCCCCAGUAGCGGCGAGCGAACGGGGAGGAGCCCAGAGCCUGAAUCAGUGUGUGUGUUAGUGGAA
RNAcentral lists this ribosomal RNA (309 nucleotides) under Escherichia coli. RNAcentral's name for it is "partial 23S ribosomal RNA". It matches the Rfam family "Bacterial large subunit ribosomal RNA", at positions 1 to 305 of the family's 2925-position model. Lineage: Bacteria; Pseudomonadati; Pseudomonadota; Gammaproteobacteria; Enterobacterales; Enterobacteriaceae. The record is from RNAcentral.